This 759-nucleotide ribosomal RNA is filed under the name uncultured Enterobacteriaceae bacterium. RNAcentral's name for it is "bacterial SSU rRNA". It matches the Rfam family "Bacterial small subunit ribosomal RNA", at positions 28 to 776 of the family's 1533-position model. Lineage: Bacteria; Pseudomonadati; Pseudomonadota; Gammaproteobacteria; Enterobacterales; Enterobacteriaceae. The record is from RNAcentral.
AUUGAACGCUGGCGGCAGGCCUAACGCAUGCAAGUCGAACGGUAACAGGAAGCAGCUUGCUGCUUCGCUGACGAGUGGCGGACGGGUGAGUAAUGUCUGGGAAACUGCCUGAUGGAGGGGGAUAACUACUGGAAACGGUAGCUAAUACCGCAUAACGUCGCAAGACCAAAGAGGGGGACCUUAGGGCCUCUUGCCAUCGGAUGUGCCCAGAUGGGAUUAGCUAGUAGGUGGGGUAACGGCUCACCUAGGCGACGAUCCCUAGCUGGUCUGAGAGGAUGACCAGCCACACUGGAACUGAGACACGGUCCAGACUCCUACGGGAGGCAGCAGUGGGGAAUAUUGCACAAUGGGCGCAAGCCUGAUGCAGCCAUGCCGCGUGUAUGAAGAAGGCCUUCGGGUUGUAAAGUACUUUCAGCGGGGAGGAAGGGAGUAAAGUUAAUACCUUUGCUCAUUGACGUUACCCGCAGAAGAAGCACCGGCUAACUCCGUGCCAGCAGCCGCGGUAAUACGGAGGGUGCAAGCGUUAAUCGGAAUUACUGGGCGUAAAGCGCACGCAGGCGGUUUGUUAAGUCAGAUGUGAAAUCCCCGGGCUCAACCUGGGAACUGCAUCUGAUACUGGCAAGCUUGAGUCUCGUAGAGGGGGGUAGAAUUCCAGGUGUAGCGGUGAAAUGCGUAGAGAUCUGGAGGAAUACCGGUGGCGAAGGCGGCCCCCUGGACGAAGACUGACGCUCAGGUGCGAAAGCGUGGGGAGCAAACAGG